UACGUAGGGGGCAAGCGUUGUCCGGAAUCAUUGGGCGUAAAGAGCGCGUAGGCGGCCCUGUAGGUCCGCUGUGAAAGUCAAGGGCUCAACCCUUGAAUGCCGGUGGAUACUGCAGGGCUAGAGUCCGGAAGAGGCGAGUGGAAUUCCUGGUGUAGCGGUGAAAUGCGCAGAUAUCAGGAGGAACACCGAUGGCGAAGGCAGCUCGCUGGGACGGUACUGACGCUGAGGCGCGAAAGCGUGGGGAGCGAACAGG
Molecule: ribosomal RNA, 253 nt
Filed under: uncultured bacterium
Lineage: Bacteria
Description: partial 16S ribosomal RNA
Rfam family: Bacterial small subunit ribosomal RNA
Source: RNAcentral